This 369-nucleotide ribosomal RNA is filed under the name Triticum aestivum (bread wheat). RNAcentral's name for it is "partial small subunit ribosomal RNA". Lineage: Eukaryota; Viridiplantae; Streptophyta; Magnoliopsida; Poales; Poaceae. The record is from RNAcentral.
AUGCAGCGCGCCGCCGUAAGGUUCGCUUCCAUGGCCGGUCGCCGCUUCGCUGCGUCGGCCACCCGCCCGGGGCUCCCAACUGGCGCGGCUCCUCUUUGGCCUGCCGCGGCGGUGGUCAACGGUACCACGCGAUUAUCCAUCCAGCCAGCUUUUGCUGCUGCCGCGGCGGCUCUGUGUGCCCGGCGCGGUUACGCGGGCAGGUCUCUGAAGACGAAGACGGUCAGCAAGGAGGAGGAGGAGGAGGACGACGACGACGGCGGCGGCGGCGGCGACUUCUUCGAUAUGUCCUGCGACGAGGACUCCGACGACGACUCCGACAGCGACGAUUUGGAGGACGCUGAUCUGUAUGCUUCCGGAAGUGACGAGUAG